Molecule: ribosomal RNA, 440 nt
Filed under: uncultured bacterium
Lineage: Bacteria
Description: partial 16S ribosomal RNA
Rfam family: Bacterial small subunit ribosomal RNA
Source: RNAcentral
CCUACGGGUGGCAGCAGUAGGGAAUUUUGCGCAAUGGGCGAAAGCCUGACGCAGCAACGCCGCGUGAUCGAGACGCCCUUCGGGGUGUAAAGAUCUGUCAGUGGGGACGAAACUUGACGGUACACACAGAGGAAGCACCGGCUAACUCCGUGCCAGCAGCCGCGGUAAUACGGGGGGUGCAAGCGUUGUCCGGAAUCAUUGGGCGUAAAGAGUUCGUAGGCGGCACGUAAAGUCUGGUGUGAAAGGCGGAGGCUCAACUUCUGCAUGGCACUGGAUACUUGCGAGCUGGAAUGCGGUAGAGGUGAAGGGAAUUCCUGGUGUAGCGGUGAAAUGCUUAGAUAUCAGGAGGAACAUCGGUGGCGUAAGCGGUUUACUGGGCCGUAAUUGACGCUGAGGAACGAAAGCCAGGGUAGCAAAUGGGAUUAGAUACCCCAGUAGUC